UGUUCUGUGGCUUAAUUGGUUAAAGCGCCAGCCUAGCGAAUACGGAGUUGUGGGUUCGAAUCCCACCAAAAUGC
Molecule: non-coding RNA, 74 nt
Organism: Aedes albopictus (Asian tiger mosquito)
Lineage: Eukaryota; Metazoa; Arthropoda; Insecta; Diptera; Culicidae
Source: Rfam